RNAcentral lists this ribosomal RNA (253 nucleotides) under uncultured bacterium. RNAcentral's name for it is "partial 16S ribosomal RNA". It matches the Rfam family "Bacterial small subunit ribosomal RNA", at positions 524 to 776 of the family's 1533-position model. The record is from RNAcentral.
UACGUAGGGGGCAAGCGUUGUCCGGAAUCAUUGGGCGUAAAGCGCGUGUAGGCGGCUCGAUAAGUCUGCUGUGAAAGUCCAGGGCUCAACCCUGGGAUGCCGGUGGAUACUGUCGAGCUCGAGUCCGGAAGAGGCGAGUGGAAUUCCUGGUGUAGCGGUGAAAUGCGCAGAUAUCAGGAGGAACACCGAUGGCGAAGGCAGCUCGCUGGGACGGUACUGACGCUGAGGCGCGAAAGCCAGGGGAGCGAACGGG